This 401-nucleotide long non-coding RNA is filed under the name Medicago truncatula (barrel medic). Its description in RNAcentral is "long non-coding RNA (MTRU_LNC004273)". Lineage: Eukaryota; Viridiplantae; Streptophyta; Magnoliopsida; Fabales; Fabaceae. The record is from RNAcentral.
GAAAUGGCUACUAUCAGGAUUUCAAUCAAGGGAACAAAGGAGGUAAUUCUUCUACUGGAAGAGAACAAUCUUCAUCAGGGCAAUACAAAACUCAAAGCUCAAACUCUUGGGACGAUUGGGGCCAAAAAGAUAGUUGGAAGGGAGAACCUGCUAAUAAAGGAUCAACUCCUUAUUCAUCUGGUGGGCAGUCUGGUACUCACAAUCCCAGCUCUUGGGAUGAUUGGGACCACAAAGAUUCUAGGAAGGAAGAACCAGCUAAAUCAUCGGCUCCCCACAAUAAUGAUGUUGGUUGGGCUGGCUGGGAUAAUGCAAAAGAUGAUGGAUUUGAUAACUUUUAUGAAGGUGCAUCUAAUAAGAAAGCUGCUGGACAUAAUGGGAAAUCAGAUGACGCUUGGACAGGG